Molecule: ribosomal RNA, 253 nt
Filed under: uncultured bacterium
Lineage: Bacteria
Description: partial 16S ribosomal RNA
Rfam family: Bacterial small subunit ribosomal RNA
Source: RNAcentral
UACGUAGGGUGCGAGCGUUAAUCGGAAUUACUGGGCGUAAAGCGUGCGCAGGCGGUUUUGUAAGCCAGAUGUGAAAUCCCCGGGCUUAACCUGGGAAUGGCAUUUGGGACUGCAAGGCUGGAGUGCGGCAGAGGAGACUGGAAUUCCCGGUGUAGCAGUGAAAUGUGUAGAGAUCGGGAGGAACACCGGUGGCGAAGGCGGGUCUCUGGGCAAUUCCUGACGCUGAGGCGCGAAAGCGUGGGGAGCAAACGGG